UCUCACCUUGAUGAUGAUGCACUGAGCCUC
This 30-nucleotide non-coding RNA is filed under the name Rattus norvegicus (Norway rat). Lineage: Eukaryota; Metazoa; Chordata; Mammalia; Rodentia; Muridae. The record is from RNAcentral.